RNAcentral lists this ribosomal RNA (465 nucleotides) under uncultured bacterium. RNAcentral's name for it is "bacterial SSU rRNA". It matches the Rfam family "Bacterial small subunit ribosomal RNA", at positions 329 to 792 of the family's 1533-position model. The record is from RNAcentral.
UUCCAGACUCCUACGGGAGGCAGCAGUGAGGAAUAUUGGUCAAUGGCCGCAGGGCUGAACCAGCCAAGUCGCGUGAGGGAUGACGGUCCUAUGGAUUGUAAACCUCUUUUGUCAGGGAGCAAAGGGCGCCACGUGUGGCGUUUUGCGAGUACCUGAAGAAAAAGCAUCGGCUAACUCCGUGCCAGCAGCCGCGGUAAUACGGAGGAUGCGAGCGUUAUCCGGAUUUAUUGGGUUUAAAGGGUGCGCAGGCGGAAUGUCAAGUCAGCGGUAAAAUUUCGGGGCUCAACCCCGUCGUGCCGUUGAAACUGGCGUUCUUGAGUGAGCGAGAAGUAUGCGGAAUGCGUGGUGUAGCGGUGAAAUGCAUAGAUAUCACGAAGAACCCCGAUUGCGAAGGCAGCCUGCCGCAGCGUUACUGACGCUGAAGCUCGAAAGCGCGGGUAUCGAACAGGAUUAGAUACCCGGGUA